GCUAAAGCUAGAAAGGUUGUCAUCAGCCCCAGACGCUUAUUUCAUUUAACUCAUCAAUCAGGUGGCAUUUAUUCGAAUUGAAUAUAAUGAGCACAAAAAAGACAGAGACGUAAAAACAUUGCCAAGUCGUUUUAAUAAACUUAAGUCGAGCAGCUAAGUUACUUUUUAGCCGAUGGAAAAAUCCAUGCUGAGGUUGGUCAUAAUGUCUGUUGUCAGUUGUUAGCUAACGUUCGCUGAGUUAACCAGUGUUUAAUAAGUGGUGGUUAAAACUGCUGCAGAUUUAAUGUGUUAGUUUUACGUUAGACAACACUGUGAGUCUGUCGGGACCGUUAUUUGUUAUUGUUGAUUAGCGGCUGUGUAUGUAUAGGAGCAACGGGUCUUGCUUGUUAUUUGGCGUCCCAGCUCAUGAAAAGACCAGUAGCUGGAUAUUAAAACACCAGGGGCAGGAGCACUUUAAGCAGAGCUGUCCAGUGGAGUAUCGCCACCCUCUGAGCUCGGCCUCACCACACCCCUCCCACAUAACAUCACAUCGAAGAAAAUGCACCUGAGCGACACAGGUGCAGAGGUAAAUCACCAUGAAGAACACAGACCUGAAACACAGGAGCAGGAUCACAGCACAGCACCUACAGAAGAAACUUUAGGACGACCAGAACCUGAACUCGGCAACUCCCAUGAACAGCCUCAGGAAAAGCCAUCUGAGGGUGCAAAACAAUGCCAGCAGCCUCGCAAACUCAAGAAGUACGACUGUCCGACCUGUGGGAGAAUUUUCUCUGACAACACCGCGCUGAAACGACACCUUGUGAUUCACGCGGGGAAAAGACCUUUCAAGUGCUUCAUCUGUGGGAGAGGAUUUACCCAGAGCGGAAACCUCAAAACACACAUGAAAGUGCACAGAGGUCAGAGGCAACAAGAUGCUCCUUUGUCUUUAAUUAGAUACACUUUUUUUUUCUUUUUCUUUUCUUUUCUUUUUUUUUUUUAAAUUAGAUGCUAUAGUGACUCCAAACAAAAGACGAAGUCACUGAGAGGCUAAGUGAGGGAGCAUUGCACUGCUGACUCGCCAUACAAACGACAAGGCUAUUUCCAAGUUUUCCGACUGUGUCCGUAUUUAUUUUCAACAGCGAACAAACAGGCAAAGCAAGGCAAGGCACGGCAGGAUGUUCAAAUACCCAGUUUUCAGUUAGGUUAAGCGGUCAACAAAAAAUACGCUCUCCCUACUCACCCCCCUCUCCAUGCAACCACCACGGUGCACAGGAGAGUUACCAAAUUGGACAUUAGUUCGAGAGAGUCCCCCGAAAGAAUCGCAUGUGACAGUUCAUGUGUGUGGAGAAUGUGGCAUGGACUUCCCUCAGAAGCAACAGCUGGAAGAACACCGCCAGAGUCACAAAAAGCCUUACGCCUGUCCUGACUGUGGCAAGACCUUCAAAACGGAAUACUAUUUCAAAAUACAUAAGCGCAUUCACUCAGGAGAGUCACCUUUCCUCUGUACAGAGUGUGGUAAGAGCUGUGUCACAGCAGAUUCGCUUAAAAAACACGAGCUGACUCACACUGGAGAAAGGAAUUUCCACUGUGAUCAGUGUGGGAAGGCGUUUUCACAAUCCUCCCACCUCAAGGUGCAUCUCAAAACUCACACCGGAGAGCGACCUCACCUCUGCUCAAUCUGUGGUAAAAGCUACUCCAAAGCAUCUGUGCUGAAAGUUCACCUGCGAGUUCACACCGGAGAGAAACCGUAUACUUGUGACAAAUGUGGCAAGUGCUUUUAUUACACUCAAGGUUAUCGAGCGCAUCUGAAGAUUCACGACAAGAAGCCAAAGCCUCAAACAAAACCGCUGGGGAGACCAAAACAACAGCUGUCAGUGGCACAUAAUCAAUAAUGUCACCUGGGAGUGUACACUAGUCUGAGAGGAUAUAAAUAGGAAAAGUUAAUAUACUAGCGUUGCCCAUCUUUUACUCUGUGAAGUAAACUAUCUUUCAAAUGUCUGAAGUGAUUGUUCAAACAGUAUGAUAGUAAUCAAAUGUAUAAGGUGUGCAGUCAGCUACAUUAUUAAUAACAUGUAUUGGAGUAUAUAGUAUUCAAGAAAAUAAAUCAUGACAUCAUAA
Epinephelus lanceolatus (giant grouper) is the source of this 2097-nucleotide non-coding RNA. The record is from RefSeq and is a predicted model, not a curated record. Lineage: Eukaryota; Metazoa; Chordata; Actinopteri; Perciformes; Serranidae.